This 262-nucleotide long non-coding RNA is filed under the name Elaeis guineensis (African oil palm). Its description in RNAcentral is "long non-coding RNA (EGUI_LNC022601)". The record is from RNAcentral. Lineage: Eukaryota; Viridiplantae; Streptophyta; Magnoliopsida; Arecales; Arecaceae.
CACAAGUUGAAUAAUUUUGUCAAAUGCUAAAGUUCGGAAUUUGCAAGGGGAAAGAAGCUGGAAAAAGUAAGAUCUCAGUUGAUAUUUGAAUUUCUCGGUGAAAAGACCCGAAAAACUUUUGAAAGGUUCAAAAGGAAGUAAUAAAAAUGGGGGAAAAAAAAUUAUUUUUCCUAGAAAUGGCCGCGAAGGAAAAAUUUUCACAUUACCAGGGAUUUUCUUUUUCCAUGAUAAAUUGGUGAAUUAUUACAAUCACCAGGGCACU